This 220-nucleotide unclassified non-coding RNA is filed under the name plant metagenome. RNAcentral's name for it is "partial contains small subunit ribosomal RNA, internal transcribed spacer 1, and 5.8S ribosomal RNA". The record is from RNAcentral.
UUUCCGUAGGUGAACCUGCGGAAGGAUCAUUACAGAGUUCAUGCCCUCACGGGUAGAUCCCCCACCCUUGAAUAUUUAUACCUUAGUUGCUUUGGCAGGCCGUGGAAACACCAUGGGCUCCGGCUUAUGCGUGCCUGCCAGAGGAAACAAACUCUGUUUUUAGUGAUGUCUGAGUACUAUAUAGUAGUUAAAACUUUCAACAACGGAUCUCUUGGUUCUG